Molecule: long non-coding RNA, 368 nt
Organism: Papaver somniferum (opium poppy)
Lineage: Eukaryota; Viridiplantae; Streptophyta; Magnoliopsida; Ranunculales; Papaveraceae
Exons: 3
Source: RefSeq, a predicted model, not a curated record
AGAUGGUUUGAAUCGUGCUUGGUGGGAUGGUGGUAGCGGGUGUUGGAAUUGCAAGCCGUGAAUAGAGGGGUUGUGGGGUUUAUGGUACAAGUCCAUCAGUAAUCCUUCUCUCGAUACCAGAGUUCAACACAGAUCUCCUCUAAUAAGCUUCAGACUUUGGCCGGACAACAUUCUGAUGUACUUGAAAGUCUUGCACCAAAUGUUAGGAAGCGUGUUGAGGCUUUGAGAGAGAUUCAGGUCUGUGGCUGAUUUUUCUUUAGCGAUGGUUCUUGUGUACCUAGAUUAACUUAUGGGAGUCAUUCUCUUUUCUUGGGUUGCCUGCAGAGUAAGCGUAGCUGCACUUAUGGAGUUUAACGGGUUUGAGUUGA